Molecule: ribosomal RNA, 441 nt
Filed under: uncultured bacterium
Lineage: Bacteria
Description: partial 16S ribosomal RNA
Rfam family: Bacterial small subunit ribosomal RNA
Source: RNAcentral
CCUACGGGCGGCAGCAGUGGGGAAUAUUGCACAAUGGGGGAAACCCUGAUGCAGCAACGCCGCGUGAAGGAAGACGGUUUUCGGAUUGUAAACUUCUGUUCUCAGUGAAGAAUAAUGACGGUAGCUAAGGAGCAAGCCACGGCUAACUACGUGCCAGCAGCCGCGGCAAUACGUAGGUGGCAAGCGUUGUCCGGAAUUACUGGGUGUAAAGGGAGCGCAGGCGGGAAGCCAAGUCAGCUGUGAAAACUACGGGCUUAACUUGUAGACUGCAGUUGAAACUGGUUUUCUUGAGUGAAGUAGAGGUUGGCGGAAUGCCGAGUGUAGCGGUGAAAUGCGUAGAUAUUCGGAGGAACACCGGUGGCGAAGGCAGCCAACUGGGCUUUAACUGACGCUGAGGCUCGAAAGUGUGGGGAGCGAACAGGAUUAGAUACCCCUGUAGUC